Molecule: ribosomal RNA, 253 nt
Filed under: uncultured bacterium
Lineage: Bacteria
Description: partial 16S ribosomal RNA
Rfam family: Bacterial small subunit ribosomal RNA
Source: RNAcentral
UACGUAGGGGGCGAGCGUUGUCCGGAUUUAUUGGGCGUAAAGAGCGUGUAGGCGGCCAGGUAGGUCUGCUGUGAAAACUCGAGGCUCAACCUCGAGACGUCGGCGGAAACCAUCUGGCUAGAGUCCGGAAGAGGAGAGUGGAAUUCCUGGUGUAGCGGUGAAAUGCGCAGAUAUCAGGAAGAACACCCGUGGCGAAGGCGGUUCUCUGGGACGGUACUGACGCUGAGACGCGAAAGCGUGGGGAGCAAACAGG